Molecule: ribosomal RNA, 497 nt
Filed under: uncultured bacterium
Lineage: Bacteria
Description: partial 16S ribosomal RNA
Rfam family: Bacterial small subunit ribosomal RNA
Source: RNAcentral
ACUCAAAUGAAUUGACGGGGGCCCGCACAAGCAGCGGAGCAUGGGGUUUAAUUCGACGCGACGCGAAGAACCUUACCUGGGCUUGACAUGUCAGCGACCGCCGUGGAAACACGGCUUCCCUUCGGGGCGCUGUCACAGGUGGUGCAUGGCUGUCGUCAGCUCGUGUCGUGAGAUGUUGGGUUAAGUCCCGCAACGAGCGCAACCCCCGUCGUAUGUUGCCAGCAUUUAGUUGGGGACUCAUACGAGACUGCCGGUGACAAACCGGAGGAAGGUGGGGAUGAGGUCAAGUCAUCAUGCCCCUUAUGUCCAGGGCUACACCCGUGCUACAUUGGCACGUACAGAGGGUUGCGAUACCGCGAGGUGGAGCGAAUCCCUUAAAGCGUGUCUCGGUUCGAAUUGCAGGCUGAAACUCGCCUGCAUGAAGGCGGAGUUGCUAGUAAUCGCGGAUCAGCAAUGCCGCGGUGAAUACGUUCCCGGGCCUUGCACACACCGCCCGU